Molecule: ribosomal RNA, 57 nt
Filed under: Lactarius deterrimus
Lineage: Eukaryota; Fungi; Basidiomycota; Agaricomycetes; Russulales; Russulaceae
Also listed under: 20 other names
Description: partial large subunit ribosomal RNA
Rfam family: Eukaryotic large subunit ribosomal RNA
Source: RNAcentral
UGACCUCAAAUCGGGUGAGACUACCCGCUGAACUUAAGCAUAUCAAUAAGCGGAGGA